GUUUGAUGGGCUUUCAUGUGCUUCUCUCGAGGUGCCGGAGGAUGGGCAUCCUUCAUUGGCAGCGUUACUCUUAUUAGGGCGUUCGGGGAGGUGGCAAUCAAUUGCUACGGUUAAGUUCUGCCAGGUUCUACUGGCUUUCGUGACAAUGGUGACCGACUUCAUUUGAAAGAAUUCCAUCUCUUCUAUCGCAGGAUCGUUGAGGCUGACUUCUAUUCAUCAAAUUAGUCAAACCCCAUCAGGGGGGUGCUACCCUUGGACCACCGACAUAUCUACGAAGCAUACAACAAUGAACAAAUAGAGCCUAAUGUUUGACGCCUAGUUAGAGGUGCCCUUGACCAGCUGACCUCGAGCACAACUUGCGUUCAAAGACUAUGGUUCGUGGGAUUCUACAAUUCACAUUAUGUAUUGCAUUUCGCUGCGCUCUUCAUCAACGCGAGAGCCGAGAGUCAUGUCAAUCCAUCUGGCGUGCAACAACACCCCAUGCCACGAAACCUAUUUUAGGGCUCAUGUUUUGAUAUACGAAAGGCUUUGUUUAUCGUAAUGAGAUCAAGGCUUGAUGUUUUUUUUGUUAUUGUAAGAGCCUAAUGGUCUUUAUGAUUUUGUGUUGACGCAUAUUGAGAGAGAGUUGAUUGCAAAUGAUUGGUUCAUAUUGCCAAAGUUUGCUUUUUCUUAUCUCUAGAGCGGGCAAACAAGUAUAAAAAUGGAGACAACAUGAGAUUUUGUAUGCCAAUUGUAACGAAAAGCUUUGUUAUCCAUGAAAAAAAGUAUUUGGUUCAUCAAAAAUAUUCUUUUAUCAUGGUUCACCCACAGUUGCAAUGAGAACCUA
This is a long non-coding RNA of Dendrobium catenatum, 826 nucleotides long. RefSeq lists it as uncharacterized. The record is from RefSeq and is a predicted model, not a curated record. Lineage: Eukaryota; Viridiplantae; Streptophyta; Magnoliopsida; Asparagales; Orchidaceae. The transcript has 3 exons.